RNAcentral lists this ribosomal RNA (465 nucleotides) under Vreelandella stevensii. RNAcentral describes it as "partial 16S ribosomal RNA". It matches the Rfam family "Bacterial small subunit ribosomal RNA", at positions 338 to 795 of the family's 1533-position model. The record is from RNAcentral. Lineage: Bacteria; Pseudomonadati; Pseudomonadota; Gammaproteobacteria; Oceanospirillales; Halomonadaceae.
CCUACGGGAGGCUGCAGUGGGGAAUAUUGGACAAUGGGGGGAACCCUGAUCCAGCCAUGCCGCGUGUGUGAAGAAGGCCCUCGGGUUGUAAAGCACUUUCAGUGAGGAAGAACGCCUGGUGGUUAAUACCCAUCAGGAAAGACAUCACUCACAGAAGAAGCACCGGCUAACUCCGUGCCAGCAGCCGCGGUAAUACGGAGGGUGCGAGCGUUAAUCGGAAUUACUGGGCGUAAAGCGCGCGUAGGUGGCUUGAUAAGCCGGUUGUGAAAGCCCCGGGCUCAACCUGGGAACGGCAUCCGGAACUGUCAAGCUGGAGUGCAGGAGAGGAAGGUAGAAUUCCCGGUGUAGCGGUGAAAUGCGUAGAGAUCGGGAGGAAUACCAGUGGCGAAGGCGGCCUUCUGGACUGACACUGACACUGAGGUGCGAAAGCGUGGGUAGCAAACAGGAUUAGAUACCCGAGUAGUC